This 393-nucleotide ribosomal RNA is filed under the name uncultured bacterium. Its description in RNAcentral is "partial 16S ribosomal RNA". It matches the Rfam family "Bacterial small subunit ribosomal RNA", at positions 523 to 918 of the family's 1533-position model. The record is from RNAcentral.
AUACGGAGGAUCCGAGCGUUAUCCGGAUUUAUUGGGUUUAAAGGGUGCGUAGGCGGACUGGUAAGUCAGCUGUGAAAGUUUGCGGCUUAACCGUAAAAUUGCAGUUGAUACUGUCAGUCUUGAGUGUGCAUGAGGUGGGCGGAAUUUGUGGUGUAGCGGUGAAAUGCUUAGAUAUCACGAGGAACUCCAAUUGCGAAGGCAGCUCACUGGGGCAUAACUGACGCUGAUGCACGAAGGUUUGGGUAUCAAACAGUAUUAGAUACAAUGGUAGUCCACACAGUAAACUAUGAAUACUCGCUGUUUGCGAUAUACAGUAAGCGGCCAAGCGAAAGCAUUAAGUAUUCCACCUUGGGAGUACGCCAGUAACGGGGAAACUCAAAGGAAUUGACGGGG